GACGAACGCUGGCGGCGUGCUUAACACAUGCAAGUCGAACGGUGAAGCGAGUGCUUGCACUCGUGGAUCAGUGGCGAACGGGUGAGUAACACGUGAGUAACCUGCCCAUCACUCUGGGAUAAGCACUGGAAACGGCGUCUAAUACUGGAUACGACCAACCCUUGCAUGGGGUGUUGGUGGAAAGAUUUAUCGGUGAUGGAUGGACUCGCGGCCUAUCAGCUUGUUGGCGGGGUAAUGGCCCACCAAGGCGACGACGGGUAGCCGGCCUGAGAGGGUGACCGGCCACACUGGGACUGAGACACGGCCCAGACUCCUACGGGAGGCAGCAGUGGGGAAUAUUGCACAAUGGGCGAAAGCCUGAUGCAGCGACGCCGCGUGAGGGAUGACGGCCUUCGGGUUGUAAACCUCUUUCAGCAGGGAAGAAGCGAAAGUGACGGUACCUGCAGAAGAAGCACCGGCUAAAUACGUG
Molecule: ribosomal RNA, 469 nt
Filed under: uncultured bacterium
Lineage: Bacteria
Description: partial 16S ribosomal RNA
Rfam family: Bacterial small subunit ribosomal RNA
Source: RNAcentral